AGGACGAACGCUGGCGGCGUGCUUAACACAUGCAAGUCGAGCGGAAAGGCCCUUCGGGGUACUCGAGCGGCGAACGGGUGAGUAACACGUGAGUAAUCUGCCCCUAGCUCUGGGAUAGCUCCGGGAAACCGGGAUUAAUACCGGAUACGACCACCUUAGACAUCUUUUGUGGUGGAAAGAAUUUCGGCUAGGGAUGAGCUCGCGGCCUAUCAGCUUGUUGGUGGGGUAACGGCCUACCAAGGCGACGACGGGUAGCCGGCCUGAGAGGGCGACCGGCCACACUGGGACUGAGACACGGCCCAGACUCCUACGGGAGGCAGCAGUGGGGAAUAUUGCGCAAUGGGCGAAAGCCUGACGCAGCGACGCCGCGUGGGGGAUGAAGGCCUUCGGGUUGUAAACCCCGUUUCAGCAGGGACGAAGCGAAAGUGACGGUACCUGCAGAAGAAGCGCCGGCUAACUACGCGCCAGCAGCCGC
Molecule: ribosomal RNA, 475 nt
Filed under: uncultured bacterium
Lineage: Bacteria
Description: SSU rRNA
Rfam family: Bacterial small subunit ribosomal RNA
Source: RNAcentral